RNAcentral lists this ribosomal RNA (1096 nucleotides) under Codium simulans. RNAcentral's name for it is "SSU rRNA". It matches the Rfam family "Eukaryotic small subunit ribosomal RNA", at positions 578 to 1712 of the family's 1831-position model. Lineage: Eukaryota; Viridiplantae; Chlorophyta; Ulvophyceae; Bryopsidales; Codiaceae. The record is from RNAcentral.
GCGGUAAUUCCAGCUCCAGUAGCGUAUAUGAACGUUGUUGCGGUUGAAAAGCUCGUAGUCGGAAGCCGGGCGGCGCGGAUCGGUCUUGGGGCUUUUGCCCCCUGCACUGACCGCGCCGUCCUCCCUGCCGGGGGCCGGCGCCUGGGCUUSRUUGUCCGGGCCCGGGGCCCGGCGAGGUUACUUUGAGGAAAUUUGAGUGCCCAAAGCACGCGUCCCGCGUGACUUCACUAGCAUGGAAUAACAUCGAUGGGCUCCGGCCGUCGUGUUGGCUCGGCUGCACGGAGCAACGAUCGGUAGGAGUGGUUCGGGGGCGUCCGUACCGACGGGAGAGAGGUGAAAUUCUAGGACCCCGUCGAGACGAACCUAAGCGAAAGCAGUCGCCAAGGACACUUCCUUGUGAUCAAGAGCGAAAGUUGGGGGAUCGAAGAUGAUUAGAUACCGUCGUAGUCCCAACUGUAAACUAUGCCAUCUGGGGAUCGACGGGCUGACGCAAAUUUGGCCCGCCGGCACCCUCCGAGAAAUUAAAAGAUCUUGGGUUCCGGGGAUAGUAUGGUGGCAACGCUGAAAUUUGAAGGAAUUGACGGAAGGGCACCACCAGGCGUGGAUGCUGCGGCUUAAUUUGACUCAACACGGGGAAACUUACGGGGUUUGGACACGGGUAGGAUGGACAGAUUGAGAGCUCUUUCUUGAUUCCGUGGAUGGUGGUGCAUGGCCGAUCUCAGCCCGUGGGUUGACCUGUCAGGUUCACUCCGGUAACGCGCGAGACCUCGACCUGCCAAAUAGCGACCGGCCCGCUUCGGCGGAUCGGACACGCUUCUUGGAGGGACUGCCGGCGAGAGCCGGAGGAAGUCGAGGCAAUAUCAGGUCAGUGAUGCCCUUAGUUAUCCUCGGUUGCACGCGUCCUACACUGUGCCGCCCAACGAGCUCUUCCCUUGCCCGACAGGCUUGGGUAAUCUGUCGAAUGCGCCACGUGACGGGGCUAGACUCUUGUUAUUCUUGGUCUUCAACGAGGAAUGCCUAGUAGUCGCGGGUCAGAAUCCCGCGACGAUUGCGUCCCUGCCCUUUGUACACACCGCCCGUCGCUGAUACUGAUGGC